This 301-nucleotide ribosomal RNA is filed under the name uncultured bacterium. RNAcentral's name for it is "partial 16S ribosomal RNA". It matches the Rfam family "Bacterial small subunit ribosomal RNA", at positions 509 to 807 of the family's 1533-position model. The record is from RNAcentral.
CAGUAGCCGCGGUAAUACAGAGGGUGCAAGCGUUAAUCGGAAUUACUGGGCGUAAAGCGCGCGUAGGUGGUUUGUUAAGUCUGCUGUGAAAUCCCCGGGCUCAACCUGGGAAUGGCAGUGGAUACUGGCAAGCUAGAGUGUGUCAGAGGAUGGUGGAAUUCCCGGUGUAGCGGUGAAAUGCGUAGAGAUCGGGAGGAACAUCAGUGGCGAAGGCGGCCAUCUGGGACAACACUGACGCUGAGGCACGAAAGCGUGGGGAGCAAACAGGAUUAGAUACCCGCGUAGUCCCUGUCUCUUAUAC